AUUGAACGCUGGCGGCAGGCCUAACACAUGCAAGUCGAGCGAGCGGCGGACGGGUGAGUAAUGUCUGGGAAACUGCCUGAUGGAGGGGGAUCACUACUGGAAACGGUAGCUAAUACCGCAUACCAUCAGAUGUGCCCAUAUGGGAUUAGCUAGUAGGUGGGGUAACGGCUCCCCUAGGCGACGAUCCCUAGCUGGUCUGAGAGGAUGAACAGCCACAAUGGAACUGGGAAACGGUCCAGACUCCCACGGGAGGCAGCAGUGGGGAAUAUUGCACAAUGGGCGCAAGCCUGAUGCAGCCAUGCCGCGUGUAUGAAGAAGGCCUUAGGGUUGUAAAGUACUUUCAGCGGGGAGGCGUUACCCGCAGAAGAAGCACCGGCUAAAUCCGGGCCAGCAGCCGAGGUAAUUC
This 406-nucleotide ribosomal RNA is filed under the name uncultured bacterium. Its description in RNAcentral is "partial 16S ribosomal RNA". It matches the Rfam family "Bacterial small subunit ribosomal RNA", at positions 30 to 526 of the family's 1533-position model. The record is from RNAcentral.